RNAcentral lists this transfer RNA (90 nucleotides) under Basilea psittacipulmonis DSM 24701. RNAcentral describes it as "tRNA-Leu (TAA) (tRNA-Leu-TAA-1-1)". It matches the Rfam family "tRNA". Rfam says of the family: Transfer RNA (tRNA) molecules are approximately 80 nucleotides in length. Their secondary structure includes four short double-helical elements and three loops (D, anti-codon, and T loops). The record is from RNAcentral. Lineage: Bacteria; Pseudomonadati; Pseudomonadota; Betaproteobacteria; Burkholderiales; Alcaligenaceae.
GCACUCGUGGUGAAAUAGGUAGACACAAGAGACUUAAAAUCUCUCGGGCAUUUAACGCCCGUGCCGGUUCGAUUCCGGCCGAGUGCACCA